UACGAAGGGUGCAAGCGUUAAUCGGAUUUACUGGGCGUAAAGCGCGCGUAGGCGGCUUUGUAAGUCAGAGGUGAAAGCCCGGAGCUCAACUUCGGAAUUGCCUUUGAGACUGCAUCGCUUGAAUCCGGGAGAGGUGAGUGGAAUUCCGAGUGUAGAGGUGAAAUUCGUAGAUAUUCGGAAGAACACCAGUGGCGAAGGCGGCUCACUGGACCGGUAUUGACGCUGAGGUGCGAAAGCGUGGGGAGCAAACAGG
Molecule: ribosomal RNA, 253 nt
Filed under: uncultured bacterium
Lineage: Bacteria
Description: partial 16S ribosomal RNA
Rfam family: Bacterial small subunit ribosomal RNA
Source: RNAcentral